This 67-nucleotide transfer RNA is filed under the name Trichonephila inaurata madagascariensis. Its description in RNAcentral is "tRNA-Cys". It matches the Rfam family "tRNA", at positions 6 to 65 of the family's 71-position model. From Rfam's summary of the family: Transfer RNA (tRNA) molecules are approximately 80 nucleotides in length. The record is from RNAcentral. Lineage: Eukaryota; Metazoa; Arthropoda; Arachnida; Araneae; Nephilidae.
GUAUAGCUCAGUGGUAGAGCAUUCGGCUGCAGAUCGAGAGAUCUACGGUUCAAACCCGGAUGUCCCA